Homo sapiens (human) is the source of this 537-nucleotide long non-coding RNA. Ensembl annotates it as long intergenic non-protein coding RNA 3000. NCBI's taxonomy places the organism in Eukaryota, Metazoa, Chordata, Mammalia, Primates, Hominidae. The record is from Ensembl.
GGAAUCCCAGUGAUUCAAGAUGCAUUGGAGAGAAAUACAGACUGAAGAUAAUUGGUUACCCAUCUAGAAAGAGAUAUAUGAAGUCUGGGGGUAAGACCUGCAGUAAUUUCCCUUAAGUUACUGAUCGUGGAGCCUCUCCAGGACUACAGGCUCUUCCUCAGCGGCUGCCAAGCUCCUCUUAGGGAAGCCGGGGAACUUCUGAAUGCCCAAGUAUACCCUGCUGGAGGCACAGGAAUCCUCUUGGAAGCUUUGUCUGGACAUGCUUUAAUACCGUCCAUUUCUACUGUUGCCAUACCAAGCCGCUACUGGUCACCACUGUAAAUCUUUCUGCUGUUUUUUAUAACCACAAAGUAUAGCACAAUUUCUGUCUGCUUUCAUGCACCUAAAACUAUUGUGGUUUUUGCCUUUCCCGGUCUCAUUAGCUAAAACAAAGAGUUGAUAAAGGCACAGGCCCUUUCUCAAGAAACAAAAUGUUGUCUGUCUUCUUUCUGCAGUGAAACAGAAUGUAAAGUCCAGAAAUAAACGUGUAAUUAAAUA